AGUGAACGCUGGCGGUAGGCCUAACACAUGCAAGUCGAACGGCAGCACAGUAAGAGCUUGCUCUUACGGGUGGCGAGUGGCGGACGGGUGAGGAAUACAUCGGAAUCUACUUUUUCGUGGGGGAUAACGUAGGGAAACUUACGCUAAUACCGCAUACGACCUACGGGUGAAAGCAGGGGAUCUUCGGACCUUGCGCGAUUGAAUGAGCCGAUGUCGGAUUAGCUAGUUGGCGGGGUAAAGGCCCACCAAGGCGACGAUACGUAGCUGGUCUGAGAGGAUGAUCGGCCACACUGGAACUGAGACACGGUCCAGACUCCUACGGGAGGCAGCAGUGGGGAAUAUUGGACAAUGGGCGCAAGCCUGAUCCAGCCAUACCGCGUGGGUGAAGAAGGCCUUCGGGUUGUAAAGCCCUUUUGUUGGGAAAGAAAAGCAGCAUGUUAAUACCCCGCUGUUCUGACGGUACCCAAAGAAUAAGCACCGGCUAACUUCGUG
This 492-nucleotide ribosomal RNA is filed under the name uncultured bacterium. RNAcentral describes it as "partial 16S ribosomal RNA". It matches the Rfam family "Bacterial small subunit ribosomal RNA", at positions 29 to 507 of the family's 1533-position model. The record is from RNAcentral.